GACGAACGCUGGCGGCGUGCUUAACACAUGCAAGUCGAACGGAAAGGCCCGGCUUUUGUGGGGUGCUCGAGUGGCGAACGGGUGAGUAACACGUGAGUAACCUGCCCUUUACUUUGGGGUAACUUCAUGAAACUGGGGCUCAUACCGGAUAGAAACUCCUGCUGCAUGGGGGUGGUUGGAAAAUUUCGGCGGUUGGGGAUGUAAUGGCGGCUUAUCGUCUUGUUGGUGGGGUAGUGGCUUACCACGGCUUUGACGGGUAGCCGGCCUGAGAGUGUGACCCGCCACAUUGGGCUUGGGGUACCGGCCGUACUCCUUCGGCGGGCAGAAGUGGGGGUUAUUGCACACUGGGCCGAGUCCGUAUGCAGCAACGCCGCGUGCGGGAUGACGGCCUUCGGGUUGUAAACCGCUUUAGCGUGGGACGAAGCGUGAGUGACGGUAAUGGGUAAAGAAGCACCGGCUAACUACGUG
RNAcentral lists this ribosomal RNA (468 nucleotides) under uncultured bacterium. RNAcentral's name for it is "partial 16S ribosomal RNA". It matches the Rfam family "Bacterial small subunit ribosomal RNA", at positions 28 to 507 of the family's 1533-position model. The record is from RNAcentral.